AACGAACGCUGGCGGCAGGCCUAACACAUGCAAGUCGAACGCCCCGCAAGGGGAUUGGCAGGCGGGUGAGUAACACGUGGGAACCUUCCCUCUAGUACGGAAUAGCCCAGGGAAACUUGGAGUAAUACCGUAUACGCCCGAAAGGGGAAAGAAUUUCGCUAUAGGAUGGGCCCGCGUAGGAUUAGCUAGUUGGUGAGGUAAUGGCUCACCAAGGCGACGAUCCUUAGCUGGUUUGAGAGAACGACCCGCCACACUGGGACUGAGACACGGCCCAGAAUCCGACGGGAGGCAGCAGUGGGGAAUAUUGGACAAGGGGCGCAAGCCUGAUCCAGCCAUGCCGCGUGAGUGGUGAAGGCCUUAGGGUUGUAAAGCUCUUUUGGCGGGGACGAUAAUGACGGUACCCGCAGAAUAAGUCCCGGCUAACUUCGUG
RNAcentral lists this ribosomal RNA (430 nucleotides) under uncultured bacterium. RNAcentral's name for it is "partial 16S ribosomal RNA". It matches the Rfam family "Bacterial small subunit ribosomal RNA", at positions 29 to 507 of the family's 1533-position model. The record is from RNAcentral.